GAACGCAUAUUGCGCUCUUUGGUAUUCCGAAGAGCAUGCUUGUUUGAGUAUCAGUAAACACCUCAACCUCCUCUUGAUUUUUCAAAAGGAGGGUGGACUUGAGCUAUCCCAACAACCUUUAUCGGUCGGCGGGCGGCUUGAAAUGCAGGUGCAGCUGGACUUUUAUCUGAGCUAAAAGCAUAUCUAUUUAGUCCUCGUCAAACAGGAUUAUUACUUUUGCUGCAGCUAACAUAAAGGAUAAUUGUCCUCCUUGCUGACUGAUGCAGGAUUUUACGACACUUUAUGUGUUGUUCAACUCGAUCUCAAAUCAAGUAAGACUACCCGCUGAACUUA
Molecule: unclassified non-coding RNA, 333 nt
Filed under: Podila humilis
Lineage: Eukaryota; Fungi; Mortierellomycota; Mortierellomycetes; Mortierellales; Mortierellaceae
Description: sequence contains 5.8S rRNA gene
Rfam family: 5.8S ribosomal RNA (bases 1-53)
Source: RNAcentral